This 445-nucleotide long non-coding RNA is filed under the name Chrysemys picta bellii (western painted turtle). Its description in RNAcentral is "lncRNA (ENSCPBG00000013580.1)". Lineage: Eukaryota; Metazoa; Chordata; Testudines; Emydidae. The record is from RNAcentral.
CGAUCGCAGACUCUGCUUCAAUAAAACGCGCGGUCUGUAUAGUAAGCGGCGCUCCUCGUCCUGUUCCCUGGAGCGGCUGCCCACGCCUUGCAGGGAGGCCCCUCUGGCGAAGGAGCGUCUUUGCUGUGGGUGUCAGUCCCGCCAGUGCGGGCAGCUAUCUUCUGCCGCUGCCGGAAGCGGUGGGCUGCGGACACCCGCGUCCCGCUACAGUCCCGGCACCUCCUGCAAGAGACUCGCAGCGAGCUGUCCCGUGAGAAACCGGCGCUUCCAGCUGGUACCUUCAUUUUAAUCUGCCUUGUUACACCGAGGCAGCUUUGAGAGACGUCAAAGUGCACCAAGCCUCAGCACACCGAAGUGAAUCCUCAAAAGCACCAUGGGAAACAUUGUAAGAGAAGCAUCUAAAAGCAUUACUAAUCGAAGGCAGGUGCUGGUUUUCAAAUAUCUA